UUGAAACACAAGUUCCCAUAUGAUCCCCGAAGUUAAGCAAAGUCAGGUAUGGUCAGCACCUAGAUGGGUGACCAAUUGAGAAUUCCAGGUGCUGUAAG
Molecule: non-coding RNA, 98 nt
Organism: Acanthosepion pharaonis
Lineage: Eukaryota; Metazoa; Mollusca; Cephalopoda; Sepiida; Sepiidae
Source: the annotation of a GenBank genome assembly